This 448-nucleotide ribosomal RNA is filed under the name uncultured bacterium. RNAcentral describes it as "SSU rRNA". It matches the Rfam family "Bacterial small subunit ribosomal RNA", at positions 26 to 518 of the family's 1533-position model. The record is from RNAcentral.
AGAGCGAACGCUGGCGGCAGGCUUAACACAUGCAAGUCGAGCGGGCGUAGCAAUACGUCAGCGGCAGACGGGUGAGUAACGCGUGGGAACAUACCUUUUGGUUCGGAACAACCCAGGGAAACUUGGGCUAAUACCGGAUAAGCCCUUACGGGGAAAGAUUUAUCGCCGAAAGAUUGGCCCGCGUCUGAUUAGCUAGUUGGUGAGGUAACGGCUCACCAAGGCGACGAUCAGUAGCUGGUCUGAGAGGAUGAUCAGCCAUAUUGGGACUGAGACACGGCCCAAACUCCUACGGGAGGCAGCAGUGGGGAAUAUUGGACAAUGGGCGCAAGCCUGAUCCAGCCAUGCCGCGUGAGUGAUGAAGGCCCUAGGGUUGUAAAGCUCUUUUGUGCGGGAAGAUAAUGACGGUACCGCAAGAAUAAGCCCCGGCUAACUUCGCGCCAGCAGCCGC